GACGAACCGUGCGAACGUUGUUCGGAAUCACUGGGCUUAAAGGGCGCGUAGGCGGCCACGCCAGUCCGGGGUGAAAGCCCCCGGCCCAACCGGGGAAGUGCCUUGGAUACUGCGUGGCUGGAGGGGGGUAGGGGCAGCGGGAACUUCCGGUGGAGCGGUGAAAUGCGUUGAUAUCGGAAGGAACGCCGGCGGCGAAAGCGCGCUGCUGGACCCCGCCUGACGCUGAGGCGCGAAAGCCAGGGGAGCAAACGGG
Molecule: ribosomal RNA, 253 nt
Filed under: uncultured bacterium
Lineage: Bacteria
Description: partial 16S ribosomal RNA
Rfam family: Bacterial small subunit ribosomal RNA
Source: RNAcentral